This 135-nucleotide ribosomal RNA is filed under the name Carlito syrichta (Philippine tarsier). Lineage: Eukaryota; Metazoa; Chordata; Mammalia; Primates; Tarsiidae. The record is from RNAcentral.
UGUCUAUGCCAUACCACCCUGAACACACUGAUUUUAUCUGAUCUCGGAAACUAAGCAGGAUUCGGACUGAUUAGCACCUGGAUGGGAGAAAUAAAUAACCCCAAUUCUAUGUAAGCUCUUUAAGAACAUAGAAGA